This 232-nucleotide unclassified non-coding RNA is filed under the name plant metagenome. RNAcentral's name for it is "partial contains small subunit ribosomal RNA, internal transcribed spacer 1, and 5.8S ribosomal RNA". The record is from RNAcentral.
UUUCCGUAGGUGAACCUGCGGAAGGAUCAUUAGUUAUAUAAGUCCACACGGCAAGCUUUCCGAAAGGCUCGAGCUUGCUGUGUGAACCCUACCUACCCUUGCUUUUUGCUUACCCAUUGUUGCCUCGGCAGGCUUGCCUGCCAGUAGGACCCUCUUAAACCCUUUGUAAUUGCAGUCAGCGUCAUAAACAACGUAAUCGUUACAACUUUCAACAACGGAUCUCUUGGUUCUG